GCAUAUCAAUAAGCGGAGGAAAAGAAACUAACAAGGAUUCCCCUAGUAACUGCGAGUGAAGCGGGAAGAGCUCAAAUUUGAAAUCUGGCGGCCUCUGGCCGUCCGAGUUGUAAGCUAGAGAAGCGCCAUCCGCGCUGGGGCCAUGUACAAGUCUCCUGGAACGGAGCGUCGUGGAGGGUGAGAACCCCGUCUGUGACAUGGACCUCCCAGCGCACAGCGAUUGCGCCCUCGAAGAGUCGAGUUGUUUGGGAAUGCAGCUCCAAACGGGUGGUAAACUCCAUCUAAAGCUAAAUACUGGCGAGAGACCGAUAGCGAACAAGUACCGUGAGGGAAAGAUGAAAAGCACUUUGAAAAGAGAGUUAAAUAGCACGUGAAAUUGUUGAAAGGGAAACGAUUGAAGCCAGUCGUACCGACGAGAAAUCAACCUUUUUGGGCGUGAACUUGUGGGGUUAAGGAGAGUUUUAACACCUCUCACCUUUGCAUUUCGCGUUCUUGGGGCGUACUUUCCCGUAUUUGGUAGGUUAACGUCAAUUUCGAGCGUUACAAAAUGAUUGGAGGAAUGUAGCUUCGAUCUCGUAUUGAAGUGUUAUAGCCUUUGAUAGAUGUAACGAUCGGGAUUGAGGAUUGCAACGAAUACCUUUCGGGGCUAUCCGUCUGAUCUCUGAUGGUUACCUUGGUGCCGAAAGCUUGCUUACGGUUAUCAAGGUUAAUUGUCAAAAGGUUAGAACGUGAUUAAAUUCGUUAAGGAUGUUGACGUA
Molecule: ribosomal RNA, 758 nt
Filed under: uncultured Glomerales
Lineage: Eukaryota; Fungi; Glomeromycota; Glomeromycetes; Glomerales; Glomeraceae
Description: LSU rRNA
Rfam family: Eukaryotic large subunit ribosomal RNA
Source: RNAcentral